Molecule: ribosomal RNA, 466 nt
Filed under: uncultured archaeon
Lineage: Archaea
Description: bacterial SSU rRNA
Rfam family: Archaeal small subunit ribosomal RNA
Source: RNAcentral
UCCGCUAAAGGAAGGCUUUUACCCAGUCUAGAAAGCUGGGGGAAUAAGGAGAGGGCAAGUCUGGUGUCAGCCGCCGCGGUAAUACCAGCUCUCCGAGUGGUGUGGAUGUUUAUUGGGCCUAAAGCAUCCGUAGCUGGCUAAGUUAGUCCCCUGUUAAAUCCAACGAAUUAAUCGUUGGAUCGCGGGGGAUACUGCUUGGCUAGGGGACGAGAGAGGCAGACGGUAUUUCCGGGGUAGGGGUGAAAUCCUAUAAUCCCGGGAAGACCACCAGUGGCGAAGGCUGUCUGCUAGAACGCGCCCGACGGUGAGGGAUGAAAGCUGGGGGAGCGAACCGGAUUAGAUACCCGGGUAGUCCCAGCUGUAAACGAUGCAGGCUAGGUGUUUGGACGGCCACGUGCCGUUCUAGUGCCGCAGGGAAGCUGUUAAGCCUGCCGCCUGGGGAGUACGAUCGCAAGAUUGAAACUUA